Molecule: ribosomal RNA, 331 nt
Filed under: uncultured eukaryote
Lineage: Eukaryota
Description: partial 18S ribosomal RNA
Rfam family: Eukaryotic small subunit ribosomal RNA
Source: RNAcentral
CCCUUAGAUGUCCGGGGCCGCACGCGCGCUACACUGAAGGAAUCAGCGUGGCUUUCUCCCUGACCCGAAAGGGUUGGGAAACCCGUUGAAUCUCCUUCGUGAUAGGGAUUGGGGCUUGAAAUUGUUCCCCAUGAACGAGGAAUUCCCAGUAAGCGCGAGUCAUAAGCUCGCGUUGAUUACGUCCCUGCCCUUUGUACACACCGCCCGUCGCUACUACCGAUUGAAUGGCUUAGUGAGGUCUUCGGACUGGACUUCGGGGAGCCGGCAACGGCACCCUGUCGCUGGGAAGUUGAUCAAACUUGGUCAUUUAGAGGAAGUAAAAGUCGUAACA